This 53-nucleotide transfer RNA is filed under the name Ogataea angusta. Its description in RNAcentral is "partial transfer RNA". It matches the Rfam family "tRNA", at positions 10 to 61 of the family's 71-position model. From Rfam's summary of the family: Transfer RNA (tRNA) molecules are approximately 80 nucleotides in length. The record is from RNAcentral. Lineage: Eukaryota; Fungi; Ascomycota; Pichiomycetes; Pichiales; Pichiaceae.
GUCUAGUGGUAUGAUUCCUGCUUUGGGAGCAGGAGGUCCAGGGUUCAAUUCCC